GCUCUGCAACACUGCCACUAGGAUUAAUAUUAGGAGAAGUGGCAGACAUUUCCUGUCAAGUUUAUUGAUGCUAAGAAAAUAUAGUCUGAAAAGAGCAAGAAAACAAAAACACUGUAGUUGUGAGAGAGAACUAAUGAGUGACAGAGAGUGGAGUUAAAAGAAAUAAACAGAUAACCAUAAAACACUCACAGACUGUCAAUACUAGAGCUGGCUGACUCUGUCUGUCUCUGCCCCUUGUGGCAUGUCUUCAUUAACAAACAUAAGAAUCAUGCAGCAUUAAAGCACAAGAACCACUAGAAUGACUGUGAUAUUGUUUUGUAAUGUGCAAAAGUUGCAUCCCAAACAAAGGUGCAAUUUGUAAUACAUUACUGGUCUAUUUGACUAAUCUCAGUGGUUCUCCAGGUAUAGUUGAAACACAAACAGUUAAAAAGGGACUUUUAUUUCCUUAUUAAGUUCCUUAGUUUAUUUUCUCGCGCACCGUAUUACCUUCAUCAGAGAGGGGCUUUCAAGGUUUUUCUUUUGGAUCCAAUUAAACAGCAUGGGCUUCCAUCCUUUUUAGUGCACAACUGUAAUGCCUUGUCUUGUUUAUUUAUUUCCUUAUUUAUUUGUUUACUUAACAGGUGUAUCAUUUUCAUAUACUUACUUAAUGAUUUCAAAGAAAUCUCCUGGAAAGAAAUAUAUAGUUUGGUACUAAUCAGGGUCGGAGUGGGAAUAAAAAUUGGCCAAGGGCAUUUGACUGGGACUGGCCCACCGAAACCUAUAUGAAGACACAGGAUCACAUACAGCCCAUGUCCCACUCUACGAGAUUCAUGUAGUAAACAGAGGUUAAAUUAACUAUGAUGUAUGUAACACCAUACAUAAAAUGCAUGUACAUGCAUUGCCUAAUUGUCUAACAGUCUAAUUGUUGUUUACAUAAUUCAAUUACAGAUUCUUUGAAGAUUUUAUUACUGUAGUUUGUGUAGAAAAAACAGUAUCAGAAACACCUUUUGAAAUGAUUGUCUACAACUAUAACAACAAAGUAGCUACAGUCUCAAAAAUUACCAUAUAACUGAGUUGACACACUAACAAGGGUCAACAAAUACUGUAGCUAAGUAAUGUAGCUGGUAUUUACUGCUGCUCACUUUGCAUUGUAUUAAAUUGAAUUUGUAUUUUUCACGCUAAAUAAACUCAGGCAAGCUUCCUUUUGUCUUCUGCCUACCACUUAUGCUGUAAAACUUGAGUGGUGUUUGAACUGGACUCACUGGGAGCUAUGGUCCUGAAUCCACUCUGCCGCUCUGCUCCUCCUCUCUGUUGUCUGCAGAGGUACUGCUGCUGGAUGCACAACUCUUUGAAACAUUUGGAUUUUUCUGGAGUUUAACUUCUUUUCUAUGAGCUUUUCAACCACACCUUAAUGUUUUGUUAAACUUUAUUAUUCAUGUAAAAAGAUUCAGCAAAACUCCACUGCUGGCUGCCUCAAUGUUUAAACGAAGAUAUGUACACAUAAACGGGAAGCCGGUGGGUGGAGCCAAACCAAACUUAGUUAGCUGGAGAGGCAGGCAGAUGUGAGGGAGAUGACUGGCACACCACAGUGGGCCAUGCAGACUGCUCGACUGGGCUGAUAACUGCGACACGGCACUAUCUCUCUCCCUCUUGCUCUGUCUCACUCCCUCUCUUUCUCUCUUUCUGUUCGAUUUCUGUUGCCACCCAGGAAAAGUCUCGGUUCUUCCAAUGGCCAUUCCAACAUUGGUACUGAUUAUGGGUAAAAUACAGGAAAUCUAAAUAAUUGCAAAGAAUUGCCAACUUAACAUCGAAAGUCUUUUAGCCUGUAACAGCAGGUUGGUUGAACACUAAAGAGCAACUUGCAGGUUAAAUUUCUUCCAAAUGUUGUACUUAACGUUCCCUGGAAAAACAAAAUAAAUGCAGAAAUUCAGAUGGAAGUUUGAGCAAUGCCCUUAAAAACAUGUCAAAUUACAUGAGGCAGUCGGCUCCAUCCAUGGAGUCGACAUUUUUCCUAAUAACAAGAGGUGCAGUUUCUGGGCUUGGGCACGUUUUGUGAAUGUGAUGAAAAACUUUGUAGUGUAUGGCACUCAUUUUAGACAGGAGCAUCAUGUUCCCAGCGAUAAUUCAGGAUUUCAGGAUGGGAUUUUGAAGCCAGGACCAGGUGACACUGGUAGCUGCUGUGGUUCCUUCAGCACACACAGCUGCUUCACCAGUUCCACUGUCAGCAUCACCACCCAGUCAUAGGUCUGUCAGAGAUUCAGCUUGAUGAAAACGUGAACUGUGCACCGUAAGUCUUGUUUUCUAAUGUUUACUAACUUCCAAAUUAGUCAGCAUCAUGAUUUAAAUAUUGAGAAGCAAUGUGUGUAAAGUAUUUGUUUUUUCUAGGGCGACUAACUAUUCUGUAAAACCGACCAGCUGAUAAGGCAUAAUGGCUAACGUUAGCUAGCAUUAGUAUCCUAUUUUGUAAAACAUACCAUUUGAGGACGUAACCUCAGUUUGCUAAAAUUGAAAUUCUGAGGUCUAGUUAAAUAGCUCGGUGACUUGUUUGCACAUCUAUUGCAUUUGUUAUUUAGUUCCAUGUGGUGUUAUUGGGUUUGGGGAGAUACUGCAGGUCACAUGUGGACAGACGCACCUACAGCCAUUACUGCUGCAGGUGUUCUCUCCACUGGCUUCUCAGCCAAUCUCUAUGCUUUACUAUGGCUUGCAGUACAACCUCAAACCUGUAUAUCAUUCACCAGGUAGUGACAAUUUACUCUUAUAUCUAGUAUUAGUUGUACAUGUUUAUAUGGCAAAUAGAUGCACAGGCAAUGCUUCAGAGAAAAAAAUAAAUAAAACAUGUUGUUUCAGCCCAACACCCUUUUUCCAGUAUAAAAAGUAAAAACACAUGAACAAGAUGUUAUACAAAUCACACCUGAUAGUAAUCAUACAAUCAUGCCUUAUACUAAAAGUGUAUGUAAUAAAUGCACAACAAAAUAUGUGUUCUUGCAGGAUCAACAGUAGAAGUUAAACUGGAGAGUGUAGAUACCACAGCAGCACAGGUCACGGGUGUUUGGCAGAUAUUACCGCAGCAUCAGAUCUUAGCGAUAUUUCGCUUCUUCAUCCUCCACUUUAUACCAAAGCACAUUGGGUUCUUUUCCUUGGGAGGCACAGCAGGCUUCUCUUGGCAGCCCUGCAUUUCAACCAUAAUGGAAGGAGGUUAUAUGCCAUGCGGUUUGCUACCCAAGGUUCGACAAAGGUGGUGAUAGGUCUGACCUGUCGAGGAGAAGCCAUUGUAUGCCUUUGCAAUGACCCUGAUGGAGUCUCUGAGAGAGGGCUUACUCCAGGUCACCAAAGGUUCUACGCAAGAGCAGUGAAGUCUUAUCCUUCAGUGCACCCCCCUUCCCCUGCAGUUCCUGAGGCAGUUGACUUUUACCUCGCACAGCAUUCACAGUUUAAUACAGGACAUUAGUGUGAAACCUGCACAGAUGUUGUGGUUCCCAGUUUUCAGGAUAAAAUCUUUAAAAGUCAACAUAAAGUCCGAUCAGUUCUAUAAUUUGUAUUCAUAUUCACAUUUAUUUAUUUAUUUGUUAGGUAUCUCAAAACCUUUGUGAGAGAUUUUGAUCAAAUCUGGUAAACAAUUAGGCCAUGGGCCAAGGAUCGAGUGAACUUUCUUUUUCCUUGCAAUGUUGAGAAAAAAACAUUACAAGAAAAAAACAGAUAUAUUUUUGAGCGUUUUCAAUAUUUACUUUUUCUUAUUGUACUCAGUUAACAUUGGGCAUAUAUAUCAUGAAUGUAAUAUUACACACAGAUUGUAUUUAAAAAUUAUGUUUGUUAUAGUCUGGGGCUGCCUGGGGUGUCUGUUUGAUCUAUAUCUGAUCUUAAUUUACAUAAAAUGUUUUUAUACAAUAAGAAAAACUUUGUAAUUGUGAUUAAUUUUAUUGAUUGUAACCCAGAUGAGGCCUUUCAAAAUAUUUGUAAACUCCUCCUUCUAUUUAGCAAUGUUUGAAUACUUCUAACCUCUGCAAUUUGCAUUGGUAGUCAAU
Molecule: long non-coding RNA, 4001 nt
Organism: Xiphias gladius (swordfish)
Lineage: Eukaryota; Metazoa; Chordata; Actinopteri; Istiophoriformes; Xiphiidae
Exons: 3
Source: RefSeq, a predicted model, not a curated record